RNAcentral lists this ribosomal RNA (282 nucleotides) under uncultured prokaryote. RNAcentral's name for it is "partial 16S ribosomal RNA". It matches the Rfam family "Bacterial small subunit ribosomal RNA", at positions 524 to 803 of the family's 1533-position model. The record is from RNAcentral.
GACGGAGGGCGCAAGCGUUGUUCGGAAUUACUGGGCGUAAAGCGCGGGCAGGUGGUCUGUUAAGUCGUUUGUGAAAGCCCGGGGCUCAACCCCGGGACUGCAUUUGAAACUAUCAAACUGGAGUGCAGGAGAGGUAAGUGGAAUUCCUAGUGUAGCGGUGAAAUGAGUAGAUAUUAGGAGGAACACCAGUGGCGAAGGCGGCUUACUGGACUGUAACUGACGUUGAGGCUCGAAAGCGUGGGGAGCAAACAGGAUUAGAUACCCGGGUAGUCCCUGAGCGGG